Molecule: antisense RNA, 75 nt
Filed under: Micromonospora pisi
Lineage: Bacteria; Bacillati; Actinomycetota; Actinomycetes; Micromonosporales; Micromonosporaceae
Description: Micromonospora sp. GUI15 ASpks TB sRNA
Rfam family: ASpks TB sRNA
Source: Rfam by way of RNAcentral
UUUCAGCGAUCCGAGCAACAGGGGGCGGUCGGCCGGGCGGUCCUUCCCGUACGUGGCCAGCAACGCCUGUGCUUC